Molecule: ribosomal RNA, 505 nt
Filed under: uncultured bacterium
Lineage: Bacteria
Description: bacterial SSU rRNA
Rfam family: Bacterial small subunit ribosomal RNA
Source: RNAcentral
GACGAACGCUGGCGGCGUGGAUUAGGCAUGCAAGUCGAACGGUAUCAUCCUUUCGGGGGUGAGAGAGUGGCGAACUGGUGAGUAACACGUAGGUUAUCUACCCUCAAGACGGGGACAACCCAGGGAAACUUGGGCUAAUACCGGAUGUGAGCAACUUUUAGUUGUUUGAAAGGUGGCGUAAGCUGUCGCUUGGGGAUGAGCCUGCGUCCUAUUAGUUAGUUGGUGAGGUAACGGCUCACCUAGGCAAUGAUAGGUAGGCGGCCUUAACGGGUGGUCGCCCACACUGGGAUUGAGAUACGGCCCAGACUCCUACGGGAGGCAGCAGUCGAGAAUAGUCUACAAUGGUCGGAAGACUGAUAGUGCGACGCCGCGUGAACGAUGAAUCCCUUCGGGGUGUAAAGUUCUUUUAUAUGUGAGCAGUGCUUCUUAUAUUAACAGUAUGGGGAAGAGAUAUUAGCAUAUGAAUAAGCAACGGCUAACUCCGUGCCAGCAGCCGCGGUAAGCU